ACCUGGACUUCACAGCAAAGUCUGUGACUGUCUACCAUGGCAUUCUCCUGGAGCUGCUGCAGCUCAUGUCUUGGACAGACAGAAAAUAGCUCUAUUCUUUCCUGCCCUGCACCUCUGCCAGAAGUUCAGAGCAUGCUGCUCAGAGUCUUUAUUCUCGACAGAAAUGUGCCUCAAGAAGAUUGACUGAAAUUAUACUGAGCUACAAACUCCUACUCUGACCUGCUCCCAUGCAGAAAAACCAGUGGAGAUUUCAGAUAGUCCCAGUCUGCUCAGAACUGAUGAACUCAGGUUCUCAAAUGAGGUGAACUCCACACAGUAUUUCUAAGAUUAAUCUUACUUUCUUUAGAGCUUCUAAUUCAAAUGUUCAAAGUGCAGAUGGCCAGGUGGUAGCUGGUCAUGGUAAAGACACUUUGCUAAUAUAUCUGGGUAUCAUUUAUAUAUCUAUAUGGUCAGCUUAACCAGCCUCUACAUUUCCCUAAAGUAACUAAUAAAUAUUCUGUGCACUAAUUAA
Molecule: long non-coding RNA, 511 nt
Organism: Cyanistes caeruleus (blue tit)
Lineage: Eukaryota; Metazoa; Chordata; Aves; Passeriformes; Paridae
Source: RefSeq, a predicted model, not a curated record